RNAcentral lists this transfer RNA (70 nucleotides) under Ictidomys tridecemlineatus (thirteen-lined ground squirrel). RNAcentral describes it as "Spermophilus tridecemlineatus (thirteen-lined ground squirrel) tRNA". It matches the Rfam family "tRNA". Rfam says of the family: Transfer RNA (tRNA) molecules are approximately 80 nucleotides in length. Their secondary structure includes four short double-helical elements and three loops (D, anti-codon, and T loops). Lineage: Eukaryota; Metazoa; Chordata; Mammalia; Rodentia; Sciuridae. The record is from Rfam by way of RNAcentral.
GGGGAUAUAGCUCAGUUGGUAGAGUGCUUGCCUAAGCACUGGGCCCUGGGUUCAAUCCCCAGUACCACCA